CUUGGUCAUUUAGAGGAAGUAAAAGUCGUAACAAGGUCUCCGUAGGUGAACCUGCGGAGGGAUCAUUACAAGAACGCCCGGGCUUCGGCCUGGUUAUUCAUAACCCUUUGUUGUCCGACUCUGUUGCCUCCGGGGCGACCCUGCCUUCGGGCGGGGGCUCCGGGUGGACACUUCAAACUCUUGCGUAACUUUGCAGUCUGAGUAAACUUAAUUAAUAAAUUAAAACUUUUAACAACGGAUCUCUUGGUUCUGGCAUCGAUGAAGAACGCAGCGAAAUGCGAUAAGUAAUGUGAAUUGCAGAAUUCAGUGAAUCAUCGAAUCUUUGAACGCACGUUGCGCCCCCUGGUAUUCCGGGGGGCAUGCCUGUUCGAGCGUCAUUUCACCACUCAAGCCUCGCUUGGUAUUGGGCAACGCGGUCCGCCGCGUGCCUCAAAUCGUCCGGCUGGGUCUUCUGUCCCCUAAGCGUUGUGGAAACUAUUCGCUAAAGGGUGUUCGGGAGGCUACGCCGUAAAACAACCCCAUUUCUAAGGUUGACCUCGGAUCAGGUAGGGAUACCCGCUGAACUUAAGCAUAUCAAUAAGCGGAGGAAAAGAAACCAACAGGGAUUGCUCUAGUAACGGCGAGUGAAGCGGCAACAGCUCAAAUUUGAAAUCUGGCCCUAGGCCCGAAUUGUAAUUUGCAGAGGAUGCUUCUGGUAACGUGCCUUCGGAGUCCCCUGGAACGGGGCGCCAGAGAGGGUGAGAGCCCCGUAUCGUUGUGCACCGCGCCUUUGUGUAGCGCCUUCGACGAGUCGAGUUGUUUGGGAAU
This 807-nucleotide small RNA is filed under the name uncultured Davidiella. Its description in RNAcentral is "eukaryotic LSU rRNA". The stretch from base 532 to 807 matches the Rfam family "Eukaryotic large subunit ribosomal RNA", at positions 1 to 281 of the family's 3401-position model. Lineage: Eukaryota; Fungi; Ascomycota; Dothideomycetes; Cladosporiales; Cladosporiaceae. The record is from RNAcentral.